UCAGAAUCAGUUCCAGGUCUUUUAUAGGUUUACCUUCAGUUCCAGGACUAAAAUAAAUUUAUCUAUAGUUCUAGGACUGGUAUGGGACUAGUGUCAGUUCCAAAUCCGGUAUGGCUUCAAUAUCAGUGUCAGGUCCAGUAUAAGUGCAUGAUAGGUUCCAGGACCUGUAUGGGUUCAUGAUAGGUUCCAGGACCGGUAUGAUUUCAUGAUAGGUUCCAGGGCAGGUAUAGGUUCAUAAUCGAAACCAGGACCAGUAUGGGUUCAUGAUAGGUCCCAAAACCGGCAUGGGCUCAUGAUAGGUUCUAGGGUAGGUAUGCAUUCAUGAUAGGUUCCAGGGUAUGUAUGGGUUCAUGAUAGGUUUCAAGACCGAUAUGAUUUCAUGACAGGUUCUAGGGAAGGUAUGGGUUCAUGAUAGGUUACAGGGCAUGUAUGGGUUCAAGAUAGGUUCCAGGGCAUGUAUGGGUUCAUGAUAGGUUCCAAGACCGGUAUGAUUUCAUGAUAGGUUCCAGGGCAGGUAUGAGUUCAUAAUCGAAUCAAGGAUCAGUAUGGGUUGAUGAUAGGUUCCAGGACCGAUAUAGGUUAAUCAUAGGUUCCAGGUCCUGUAUGGGUACAUGAUAGAUUCUAGGACAUGUAUGGGUUCAUGAUAGAUUCAAGGAUCGGUAUGAGUUCAUGAUAGGUUACAGGGCAUGUAUGGGUUCAUGAUAGGUUCCAGGUCCUGUAUGGGUUUGUGAUAGGUUCGAAGAUCGAUAUAAGUUCAUAAUAGAUUCCAGGACCAGUGUGGGUUCAUGAUAGGUUUCAAGACCGGUAUGAUUUUAUGAUAGGUUCUAGGGAAGGUAUGGGUUCAUGAUAGGUUCCAGGGCAGGUAUAGGUUCAUAAUCGAAACCAGGACCAGUAUGGUCUCAUGAUAGGUACAGUAUCGGACAGAAAGAUAGGGCAUUGGGUUUUUAACGCACCGUGCACCCGUUGGGCCAAGUUUAUGUGUGGUUUGUAUGUGUUUGUGUUUGUGUGUGUGUGUAUGUGUGUGUAUGUGUGUGUGUGUAUGUGUGUGUGUGUAUGUGUGUGUGUGCAUGUGUGUGUGUGUGUGUGUGUGGAUGUAUGUUUGAAUGUGUAUUGAUGUGUGUGUUUGUUUCACAAGUAGGUCGUUUCGGAUAGAUUUGUAAGUAGCUUUUUUGUGUUUUGGGUUAGGUUUUUGGUGUGAUAAGCAGGACCACCGCCCUCGCGAUCAGUGUGUUUUCGAUAUAUUAACAAUGUUACGGUCUUCUUUCGCCGUGGUCUUCUGAGGACGUCCGGUUGACUUGCGCGUUUCGGUUGUCCAAGCGCGUUUCAGUUGUCUAAGCACGUUUCGGUUGUCCGAAGCGCGUUUGCCACAAAAGUGCGCGAUCGUUCCAUUACGAACUCGAUCCUUUUGCGCUUAAUGCCAGCAGCAGCCAUUCGCUUUUACAUAUGGCGCUGAUAAUCGGUACAACGUUUACCUCGACCCAUUGUUACUAACAUUGCUUGCUUGGACCGUCAAGAACGCGCUGGUUAAAAACUUGGACACGGCUGAUCCCGUGCUCUGCCUGCGUUCUACUUCUAUACGCGAUGAAUUACAUCGUUGUCGAGCAGCGAAAACAUCGCAUGGAUAAAAACUAUCAACGAGUACGCGAGUAAGCGUCUUCCCUUCAAAAUCGAGAACAGAAUACUGCCGCGCUCAUGAAACAAAACGCCCAUUGAAAAGAACAACUGCGCGCCAGCUCAAUGCACGCACAAAGUUUACCAUUCGCACACAACGUGCAACGCAGAGAUGCACGAAGGCCUUUCAAUGGCGUGCACUGGAGAAACACCUGUGAGAGAAUGCCGAGUUCAUUGAUAUUGUGCGUGUGUCCAUUUCGCACCGGUGUCGCAUUCACAUUCAUGAAACAGCACACCUGCGUUUUCGUCCGAGGAACAAGGGCUGCUGUCGAUGCAAACUUUAGUUUUUAUCCAAGUGUAAACGCACAAUGUUUCACAUGAUAACACACAUAAUAAGAAUAAUUUCAACGCAAUAUGACAUCAUGGCAAGCUAUGUUUUUCAGACACAAACCCGCGCACUUGCAAAUACACAUUAAAAAGCACACUCACUUUCUACUACUACUACACACA
Anopheles coluzzii is the source of this 2121-nucleotide long non-coding RNA. RefSeq lists it as uncharacterized. Lineage: Eukaryota; Metazoa; Arthropoda; Insecta; Diptera; Culicidae. The transcript is spliced from 2 exons. The record is from RefSeq and is a predicted model, not a curated record.